UACGGAGGGUCCAAGCGUUAUCCGGAAUCAUUGGGUUUAAAGGGUCCGUAGGCGGGCUAAUAAGUCAGAGGUGAAAGUUUACAGCUCAACUGUAAAAUUGCCUUUGAUACUGGUUAUCUUGAGUUAUUAUGAAGUAGUUAGAAUAUGUAGUGUAGCGGUGAAAUGCAUAGAUAUUACAUAGAACACCGAUCGCGAAGGCAGCUCACUAAGUAUCGACUGACGCUGAUGGACGAAAGCGUGGGUAGCGUACAGG
RNAcentral lists this ribosomal RNA (253 nucleotides) under uncultured bacterium. RNAcentral's name for it is "partial 16S ribosomal RNA". It matches the Rfam family "Bacterial small subunit ribosomal RNA", at positions 524 to 776 of the family's 1533-position model. The record is from RNAcentral.